UACGUAGGGGGCGAGCGUUGUCCGGAAUUAUUGGGCGUAAAGGGCGCGCAGGCGGUCUCUUAAGUCUGAUGUGAAAUCUUGUGGCUUAACCAUAAGCGGUCAUUGGAAACUGGGAGACUUGAGGACAGAAGAGGAGAGUGGAAUUCCACGUGUAGCGGUGAAAUGCGUAGAUAUGUGGAGGAACACCAGUGGCGAAGGCGACUCUCUGGUCUGUAGCUGACGCUGAGGCGCGAAAGCGUGGGUAGCGAACAGG
Molecule: ribosomal RNA, 253 nt
Filed under: uncultured bacterium
Lineage: Bacteria
Description: partial 16S ribosomal RNA
Rfam family: Bacterial small subunit ribosomal RNA
Source: RNAcentral